UACGAAGGGGGCUAGCGUUGUUCGGAAUUACUGGGCGUAAAGCGCGCGCAGGCGGCUAUCCAAGUCAGUGGUGAAAGCCCGGAGCUCAACUCCGGAACUGCCAUUGAAACUGUUUAGCUUGAGGAUGAGAGAGGUGAGUGGAAUUCCCAGUGUAGAGGUGAAAUUCGUAGAUAUUGGGAAGAACACCGGUGGCGAAGGCGGCUCACUGGCCCGAUACUGACGCUGAGGCACGAAAGCGUGGGGAGCAAACAGG
Molecule: ribosomal RNA, 253 nt
Filed under: uncultured bacterium
Lineage: Bacteria
Description: partial 16S ribosomal RNA
Rfam family: Bacterial small subunit ribosomal RNA
Source: RNAcentral